This 1472-nucleotide long non-coding RNA is filed under the name Gossypium barbadense (sea-island cotton). Its description in RNAcentral is "long non-coding RNA (GBAR_LNC018616)". Lineage: Eukaryota; Viridiplantae; Streptophyta; Magnoliopsida; Malvales; Malvaceae. The record is from RNAcentral.
GAAAAACCCCUGCAAAAGAAAUUAGAUUUCACAUGGUUUAUGACAAUUCCAAGGACACUAGAAGCAUGCCAAAAUCAUCUAUCUUAAAUCUAACCAAUAUGCCACAAUUGGCACCUCAACAAAUUUUUUACGUUACAAAAUGAUCACAUUCAUUUAUCAAUAUGCAUGCUUACAUCGUUACAAAAGGGAUAACUAAACAAAAGGCCUUAAACCAUCUAGGUACAUGGCAAGACCAAAAAGAAACAAACCACCAACAUUGAGUCCUAGAUUGCCGCUGGAUGUUGAACUGACAAUCUAACAAAAGAGUACCUAAUCUGUACACAUAGCAGAAAUUGGAGUCAUUUACUAGAUAAGAAAUUAAAAAUAUUCUUAUGAUAUGAAACCAAGUUAUAUUGUAGAAUAAUCAGCAAAUCUAGGUUCCAUUUAAUAUCAUUCAUCAAACUCAUUUCUAUCCCUAUUUCCAUUCCAUCUCUUUAUUUUCCUCAUUAACGUAACUCAACUUUAGCCAUGUAUACGGUUCCAAUUAACACCAGUGCCUGAUGAAUAAAUUCGUAUUAAUGAAUUGCGCCUAGCGCUGGUUAGUAGGACUGACAAAUAUGUGUGCCCAGCACUGGUCGAUAUAACCGAAAAUAAAUGCACCCUGUGCUGGUCGGUAAAACUGACAAAUAUGUGUGCCUAGCACUGGUCGGUAUAACCGAAAAUAAAAUGUGCAGUGCGUUGGUUGGUAAAAUCGACAAAUAUGUGUGCCCAACACUGGUCGGUAUAACUGACAAUAAGUGCGCCCUGCUGGUCGGUAAAACCAAUAAAUAUGUGUGCCUAGCACUGGUCGAUAUAACCGACAAUAAAUGAGCCCUACGCUGGUCGGUAGAACCGAAAAAUAUGUGUGAAAUCAUUUCCAACUCAUGUUUUAAUUUUAUUUGACAAUUACACCAAAUUAUUUCAAGAACUAAUUCUUCUUAUAAACUCACCAACCAAGUGAUAUGUAUAUGGAUAUAAAUGUAUAUAUAAUUAAUAACAAUAAUUGAAAUAGUCGGGUCAUAGAAACACCAACCGUAAUCACUAAGCUAUUCGUCUUCAAUCUUGUCUUUUCCCUUCUUCCUCGAAGGUUCCGGGUUGACGUCAACUACGGAUUAAACAAAUAGAACACAUUAACAAUACACAACCUUUGUAUAUUACUCAAUCAAAUCCCUAAAAAUUGGAACCAAAAUAUCUUUCAAACUUAACCAAAAAAUUUAUCAAAUCGGUCUGUAACAUUUUAGCGAAUACAAUAAUGGUAAUAUCCUCAAUCUUUAACAGUACUGAAAAACAAUACAUGGGUCAAGUAGCUUAUAAAAUCAGGAUUCUAAAAAUGUAAAAAUUACAAGAAACGGACUAAUUAAAGCAUACCAAUUGAAGCUUGAAUUUUUGAAAACCCUAACAUUUUCUCCCCGUGCGUCGAUGGUCUGAGGGUGAAGAAACAGCUUGUUUCUAUU